GUCACUUUGCCGGAGUGGUUAACGGGAUCGCCUGCUAUCUUAGCAUUUCAGCGGUUGUGCUUUGCACGCGAGUGUUCGAAUCGCUCAGGUGACG
RNAcentral lists this transfer RNA (94 nucleotides) under Peniophora sp. CONT. RNAcentral describes it as "tRNA-Ser". It matches the Rfam family "tRNA". From Rfam's summary of the family: Transfer RNA (tRNA) molecules are approximately 80 nucleotides in length. Lineage: Eukaryota; Fungi; Basidiomycota; Agaricomycetes; Russulales; Peniophoraceae. The record is from RNAcentral.